Drosophila ananassae is the source of this 805-nucleotide long non-coding RNA. RefSeq lists it as uncharacterized. The transcript is spliced from 3 exons. NCBI's taxonomy places the organism in Eukaryota, Metazoa, Arthropoda, Insecta, Diptera, Drosophilidae. The record is from RefSeq and is a predicted model, not a curated record.
AUUUAUGCAACUAACAUAAUACAAUUACCUCACAAUGCUGAAUACGUUAAACAGACCCUUACACAGUUUGGAGCUCAUCCUUCUGGGAUCAAGGAUUUCUGGAGUUUAAAGUGGAAUGGUAGAGCAUAAGCGGUGGCGGUUGAAGCAAGAUUUCCUACACAGGAAAUGACUUAGCAGUUUACCCCCUCGUAGUGUCAUAAUUCAUCACUCGAUCUACGUCCAACCUCCGCUGAGACCUUGCAUGCAGUUCGGUGAUAUGUCUUCAAGGCAGCAAUGACGACUGGAGACUGGAUGGAAAGUCCGUUUGCCUUAUUUGGGGAUUGCGUAGUGGAAGACCUUCGACCUUUUCUGAUUGCUCAUGACGAGGCAAGGCGCCAUAUCUGAGAAGCUUAACCGCAGGACUGCAGUCUGUAAGCACACCAACGGAUCGAAGUGGUCAGUACCCAUUAGAUCUAUGCAAACACGAUCUCUAUAUGUCAUAAAAGGUGGAUUGAAAUGUAGAACCACUACCAGUGUCAAGAGCAAAACACUUGUUGUAAUCUUUUGGAAUUGCUACUGGAAAUAAAAAUUGUAGUAAUUUUAAUAUGGGUUUUCCUAACCAGAGCAUGCUGCUUUUGGCUGCUUCCUGUUGCCAAAACUUUAAAGUUAGAUCCGCAGGAGUUCUUUUUUUUGAGAGUUCCCAUUCCACCUCCGCCCAGGUCUAAGGUAGCACAGUAAAAGUAGACUAUUAGUAUCGAUACUAUCUGUAAAAUACCAAAUCAUAAUCAUAAUUUAUUUAAUCAUAAACUUGUUAAUUUUUUAAAGG